Canis lupus familiaris (dog) is the source of this 83-nucleotide non-coding RNA. The record is from Rfam. Lineage: Eukaryota; Metazoa; Chordata; Mammalia; Carnivora; Canidae.
GCCUGGGUGGCUCAGUGGUUGUGCAUCUGCCUUCAGCUCAGGGCAUGGUCCCAGGGUCCUGGGAUCGAGUCCCACCUCGGGCU